AACGCACGAGACCUGCGGACCUGCGGAAGGAUCAUUACCUUAUACACGGCCGCAAGGCCCACUGGAAGCGCGGCCCCUCGGGGACGUGCCGACGGUAGACCCUUUGUGAAAACCCCCUGUUGCUUCGGCAGCGCCUCCCCGCACCGGCGGUGGAGGGUCAGCCUGCCGGCGGCACCCUUUAAAACCCUUGUCGCAAAGCAGUACCCUGUCUGAGCGCGUAGUCGAAUGACUUUAAAACUU
Molecule: unclassified non-coding RNA, 240 nt
Filed under: soil metagenome
Description: partial contains 5.8S ribosomal RNA, internal transcribed spacer 2, and large subunit ribosomal RNA
Source: RNAcentral